Molecule: ribosomal RNA, 253 nt
Filed under: uncultured bacterium
Lineage: Bacteria
Description: partial 16S ribosomal RNA
Rfam family: Bacterial small subunit ribosomal RNA
Source: RNAcentral
UACGGGGGGGGCAAGCGUUGUUCGGAAUUACUGGGCGUAAAGGGCUCGUAGGCGGCCAACUAAGUCAGACGUGAAAUCCCUCGGCUUAACCGGGGAACUGCAUCUGAUACUGGAUGGCUUGAGUUCGGGAGAGGGAUGCGGAAUUCCAGGUGUAGCGGUGAAAUGCGUAGAUAUCUGGAGGAACACCGGUGGCGAAGGCGGGUCUCUGGGCCGUAACUGACGCUGAGGAGCGAAAGCGUGGGGAGCGAACAGG